This 468-nucleotide ribosomal RNA is filed under the name uncultured bacterium. Its description in RNAcentral is "partial 16S ribosomal RNA". It matches the Rfam family "Bacterial small subunit ribosomal RNA", at positions 28 to 507 of the family's 1533-position model. The record is from RNAcentral.
GACGAACGCUGGCGGCGUGCUUAACACAUGCAAGUCGAACGGAAAGGCCCUGCUUUUGUGGGGUGCUCGAGUGGCGAACGGGUGAGUAACACGUGAGUAACCUGCCCUUGACUUUGGGAUAACUUCAGGAAACUGGGGCUAAUACCGGAUAGGAGCUCCUGCUGCAUGGUGGGGGUUGGAAAGUUUCGGCGGUUGGGGAUGGACUCGCGGCUUAUCAGCUUGUUGGUGGGGUAGUGGCUUACCAAGGCUUUGACGGGUAGCCGGCCUGAGAGGGUGACCGGCGACAUUGGGACUGAGGUACGGCCCAGACUCGAACGGGAGGCAGCAGUGGGGAAUAUUGCACAAUGGGCGGAAGCCUGAUGCAGCAACGCCGCGUGCGGGAUGACGGCCUUCGGGUUGUAAACCGCUUUCGCCUGUGACGAAGCGUGAGUGACGGUAAUGGGUAAAGAAGCACCGGCUAACUACGUG